This 118-nucleotide ribozyme is filed under the name Aedes aegypti (yellow fever mosquito). Its description in RNAcentral is "drz-agam-1 ribozyme". It matches the Rfam family "drz-agam-1 ribozyme". The record is from Rfam by way of RNAcentral. Lineage: Eukaryota; Metazoa; Arthropoda; Insecta; Diptera; Culicidae.
UGCCCAGCAACUCCUAUCCCUACCUCCUCGUGGUACUGGCCGGGGUACGAGUAACCUUAGGGAAGAUCGGGUGUACCAACCCCCGGUGGGAACUUUGGUCGUAUGCUGACAGGGAAGG